RNAcentral lists this ribosomal RNA (854 nucleotides) under Russula cf. cessans. RNAcentral describes it as "LSU rRNA". It matches the Rfam family "Eukaryotic large subunit ribosomal RNA", at positions 127 to 958 of the family's 3401-position model. Lineage: Eukaryota; Fungi; Basidiomycota; Agaricomycetes; Russulales; Russulaceae. The record is from RNAcentral.
GUCUUUGGCCGUCCAAGUUGUAAUUUAGAGAAGCGUCUUCCGCGCUGGACCGUGCACAAGUCUCCUGGAACGGAGCGUCGUAGAGGGUGAGAAUCCCGUCUUUGGCAUGGACACACCAGGGCUUUUGCGAUGCGCUCUCGAAGAGUCGAGUUGUUUGGGAAUGCAGCUCAAAAUGGGUGGUGAACUCCAUCUAAAGCUAAAUAUUGGCGAGAGACCGAUAGCGAACAAGUACCGUGAGGGAAAGAUGAAAAGCACUUUGGAAAGAGAGUGAAACAGUACGUGAAAUUGUUGAAAGGGAAACGCUUGAAGUCAGUCGCGUCGUCCGAGACUCAGCCUCGCCUCGGCUUGGCGUACUUCUCGGCCCGACGGGUCAGCAUCAAUUUCGCCUCUCGGAUAAUGGCGAGGGAAAAGUGACACCUUUACGGUGUGUUAUAGUCUCUCGUCGCAUGCGAGGGUCGGGAUUGAGGAACUCAGCACGCGCCCUCGGGCGUCGGGGCUUUCGCCCACGAUACGUGCUUAGGAUGUUGGCGUAAUGGCUUUAAACGACCCGUCUUGAAACACGGACCAAGGAGUCUAACAUGCCUGCGAGUGUUCGGGUGGAAAACCCGUGCGCGCAAUGAAAGUGAAAGUUGGGACCUCUGUCGUGGAGGGCACCGACGCCCGGACCAGACCUUCUGUGACGGCUCUGCGGUAGAGCAUGCAUGUUAGGACCCGAAAGAUGGUGAACUAUGCCUGAAUAGGGUGAAGCCAGAGGAAACUCUGGUGGAGGCUCGUAGCGAUUCUGACGUGCAAAUCGAUCGUCAAAUUUGGGUAUAGGGGCGAAAGACUAAUCGAACCAUCUAGUAGCUGGUUCC